Molecule: long non-coding RNA, 992 nt
Organism: Manis pentadactyla (Chinese pangolin)
Lineage: Eukaryota; Metazoa; Chordata; Mammalia; Pholidota; Manidae
Exons: 3
Source: RefSeq, a predicted model, not a curated record
UGCCCCCAGACUCUCAGCUUGGCCUGGCACCCCAGGGCCAUCUGAGAUAACUGACACGUUGAAACGCCGGGGCCCUCAAAGCCCUUGGCUCCCUUUCUUGACAUUCCAUAGGAUUUUAAUUUGUUCCUUGCUCUCUCUUCUUACGAGAAUGGAGUUAAAAUUUAACACUAAAAAAAAUGCAAACUCAAAGUGCCAUGGUCUCUAGCAAUGUGAGUGUUAAAACUUAAUACGAACCAAGAGAAAACCGAAAUAUCUAGAACAUAUUCUUUCCCUCUUGAACUCUUGUUUCCCUCUUGUUUCUCCUGUUUUUAUUCAUCCAUUCUCUUUUUCAGCUUGUAUUUCUUACAGUCUGAGUUGAAAUACAGGUGUAUAUAUUUUUAUUAAUUCAUUUAGUAUUUCAGUAGACUCCAAAGUACAGUAUGGCCCCCAGAAGCUGCCUCAAAUUAUACACUGGGAUGCAGAAAGAAAAUACUAGAAUACUUAUUAUUAAUUUUUUAUGUCAUCUUUUUAGAUUGCUAUUUUUCUGUUUUAUAACACCUGCAUCAGUGUAUUUCAUGUAUGCAGUUGAUGAACUUGCAUAGACGAGGAGUCGUGCUCAAACAGCUGAUGGGCUGAACAAUGAAGCCAGUUUGGAGAACAUGGAUUUGCUUCAUGCUUUCUCGAGCGCAAACGCCGCUGGUGUGCAACUGGGCUUGCAGUGACCGUGUGUCCCGAAGCUCCUCUCCAGCGCGUCCAGGGAGCGAGGCAUCCCUCGCAGAAGGCUUCUCUCCUUCCCCGGGCGCGGGGCUGGCUGCCCGCUGAUGCCCCACUGCGUCCUCGCUCCCGCUGGUCUCGUUUGCCUGUCGCCUUGCCCAGACGAUGCCAGGCUGGAAACGCAGCCAUGUGUAGCUGGGGCUGCUUCACUGCACGAUCAACUUUGGAGAGUUGGAAGAAAACCCUGAGUUCCUCUGACACUCAUUUUUACCUAAACAAUAAAGAAACUAGCUUUAGCA